UACGUAGGGUGCGAGCGUUAAUCGGAAUUACUGGGCGUAAAGCGUGCGCAGGCGGCUUUGCAAGACAGAUGUGAAAUCCCCGGGCUCAACCUGGGAACUGCAUUUGUGACUGCAAGGCUAGAGUACGGCAGAGGGGGAUGGAACUCCGCGUGUAGCAGUGAAAUGCGUAGAUAUGCGGAGGAACACCAAUGGCGAAGGCAAUCCCCUGGGCCUGUACUGACGCUCAUGCACGAAAGCGUGGGGAGCAAACAGG
RNAcentral lists this ribosomal RNA (253 nucleotides) under uncultured bacterium. Its description in RNAcentral is "partial 16S ribosomal RNA". It matches the Rfam family "Bacterial small subunit ribosomal RNA", at positions 524 to 776 of the family's 1533-position model. The record is from RNAcentral.